This 513-nucleotide ribosomal RNA is filed under the name uncultured bacterium. RNAcentral's name for it is "partial 16S ribosomal RNA". It matches the Rfam family "Bacterial small subunit ribosomal RNA", at positions 28 to 507 of the family's 1533-position model. The record is from RNAcentral.
GACGAACGCUGGCGGCGUGCUUAACACAUGCAAGUCGAACGAAAAGAGGGAAAGAGCUUGCUCUUUCCGGAAUUGAGUGGCAAACGGGUGAGUAACACGUAAACAACCUGCCUUCAGGAUGGGGACAACAGACGGAAACGACUGCUAAUACCGAAUAAGUUCCAAGGGCCGCAUGGCCCAUGGAAGAAAAGGUGGCCUCUACCUGUAAGCUAUCGCCUGAAGAGGGGUUUGCGUCUGAUUAGCUGGUUGGAGGGGUAACGGCCCACCAAGGCGACGAUCAGUAGCCGGUCUGAGAGGAUGAAAGGCCACACUGGAACUGAGACACGGUCCAGACUCCUACGGGAGGCAGCAGUGGGGAAUCUUCCGCAAUGGGCGAAAGCCUGACGGAGCAACGCCGCGUGAGUGAUGACGGCCUUCGGGUUGUAAAACUCUGUGAUCCGGGACGAAAAGGCAGAGUGCGAAGAACAAACUGCAUUGACGGUACCGGAAAAGCAAGCCACGGCUAACUACGUG